This 1652-nucleotide long non-coding RNA is filed under the name Nicotiana benthamiana. RNAcentral describes it as "long non-coding RNA (NBEN_LNC033236)". Lineage: Eukaryota; Viridiplantae; Streptophyta; Magnoliopsida; Solanales; Solanaceae. The record is from RNAcentral.
CAUAGAGAAUGUUUUUGUAUAUUUCGUGUGGAGAAACUAAAGCAAUAAGCAUUUACAAAGUGACAAAGAUCCCCUUUAUAUAGGAGGGGAAUCCCAAGAUAGUAUAAAAUUCAUUAAUUAUAAAGAUAUAGAGAUAGGAUAACUAGAUAACAUCCUGAUUUGGGUUCAGAGUAGUCCACUAGGCUCUACCAGUAUUAGCUGCGUGCCUUGAGAACUCCCCUCUUCUCCAAUAUAGCCGUUGGUCUGCACUGCUCCGAGGUCGAGCAUCGACAGCCCUCGAACCUCGCCCUCAGUCUCGAGCCUUGAGAAGUAUGUUCGCAGGGCAUCAUAACAAUGGGAAAAUUGGACCCUCCAAUUUUGUCAUGCACAAGAUUAUUUGAAGAUUAUAAGCAUUAUGCUACUUCAAACAAGUGAUGAGUAAACUUGUGAAGGUGAAAGGGUAAGCAAAUCGAAGAAAAUAAAUUUCGUCGAAGUUUGACAUUUUAAGAUAAAAUACGGUCCAAGCUAUAAUACUCUAUAUUUAUGAACUAAUAUUAUAUAAGAUACUACAUGACCAUGAUAGUAAAAGUUAUAAAGUAUAUUAAAAGUAAAUAGUAUUUUACGUAAUUUGAGAUAAUUUUUAAUUGUAUGAGUAAUUAGUUAAUUAUUGAAUUAAUGAGGGGUUGACAAAUAAAAUAAGGAAAUGGUGGAUAAUUAUUGAGGUGAACUCAAUAAUUUAACCAAGUGGUGUAGCAGGUAGUGUUCCUGCAUUUGAACACGUACAAUUGCUUUUAACAUGUGCAAUAUAGUUAUAAAGUUAAAAAAUGAAGGUGAGAAUAAUACGUGGAUAUGCAUGCAUAGAAGCAAUACAAUUACAACAUUAAAGGAUAUGUAUCAACUAUUUCCCACCACUUUCUUUCUAUGAUAAGAGCUCAUACAUGCCUUUUCCGUCAAUAUCCACAUACUACAUAUAAGUAAGACAUCCUCGUACCUUAGACGAGAAAACAGUCGUAACUAGUGGUGUGUAUUCGAUUUAUUGAUUCGAUUUUGACUAUUAUUGAUAAUUACUUAUCGAUUAUAGAUUUGUACAUAUGUUUAUUGUUAUCGUUUCAAUAAGAUUUCGAUUUUUUCAAUUUCGAUUUAUCGAUUUUGGGAGCUUAUCGAUUCGGUUAUCAAUUACACCAAUAAAAAAAUUGUGCGAUUCCACGAAAAGUAUAUCGCUAUAAAGGGGCCUGACUGACAUGGACAAAAAGAAGCUAAAAUAAGACGAAUACCAUUUAUAAUAUAAAAAUUAUGUCAACAAGCACAUGCAACAAAACUAAAGUAAGGGAUCAAAUGUAUGCUGCCAAAUUUCCAAUGGUAUUAAAAAAACAAAACAAAACACAUCAUCAUGACUAAUUUUGUUUUCUAUUAAUUUGAACUUCAUUUCCUUGAUCUUUAAAUAUGAUCAUGACUAAUUUUAUUUUCUAUUAAUUUGAACUUCAUUCUCUUGAUCUUUUAAUAUGAUCAUUCCUUAAUAGUGGUAGAGGAAAUAAAAGGGUAAGGGACUUAGGAUAAAGAAAGGAUAUAGAUUAGGAAAAAUAAUAUUGUAUAGCUACUUUCAAAAUAGUAGCGGAAUAUAUAUACAUUCCGUAUGUUAUAUUAAUCUACACAAAUAGGUAAUUACUCAUUUA